CCAGAAAUAAACCCAUGCUUAUAUGGACAAUUAUGAUAAAGGAAGCAAGAAUAUACAAUGGGAGAAAAAGUCUCUUUAAUACAUUGUGUUAGGAAAACUGGAUAGCUACGUGCAAAAAAGACCAUUCUGGAAAGCAGUAUGUUAAGUUCCUCAAAAAACUAAAAAUGAAAAUAAUAUACAACUCUGUAAUUCUACUUCUGGGUAUAUACCCAAGAAACAAAAACACUAAUCUGAAAAGAUACAUGCACCCCUAUGUUUAUUGUAGCAUUAUUUACAACAGCCCAGAUAAGGCAGCAACCUAAAUUGUCCAUUGAUGAAUGAAUGAAUAAAGAAGAUGUGGUACAUAUCUACUAUGGAA
This is a non-coding RNA of Manis javanica (Malayan pangolin), 358 nucleotides long. The record is from RefSeq and is a predicted model, not a curated record. NCBI's taxonomy places the organism in Eukaryota, Metazoa, Chordata, Mammalia, Pholidota, Manidae.